Neopelma chrysocephalum (saffron-crested tyrant-manakin) is the source of this 861-nucleotide long non-coding RNA. RefSeq lists it as uncharacterized. The record is from RefSeq and is a predicted model, not a curated record. NCBI's taxonomy places the organism in Eukaryota, Metazoa, Chordata, Aves, Passeriformes, Pipridae. The transcript has 3 exons.
CCGUCCUUCCAUCCCUCCAUCCCUCCAUCCCUCCAUCCCUCCAUCCUCCGUGUCCGCCGGGCCGGGCCGGGCCGCACCCCGCGGGAUCCGCAGCCAUCGCGGGCCGAGGCGGUGCCGAUCCCCAUCCCGAUCCUGAUCCCGAUCCCGGCGGCCCCGGGGCCGCGCUCCCGCCGCGCUCCCCCCGCACAUCCCCGGCCAUGCGGGGGAGGCGGGCGGCGGCUCCGCGCUGAGCCCCGGGCACAGGGACAGAGCCCCGGGCACAGGGAGCCGAGCUCGGGGCUCCGCCGCAGGCACUUGGAAAGUUAUCCAGCUGUUCAGUGCUGAGGGGGUGCUUUGGGAGCAUGGCCGGGGCAGGACUCCCAGUGCUGGCCUGGAGUGCAGGUUGUGAUGAGGGCAGCUCAUCCCCGCUCCCAGGGCGGGUUUUAUCCCUGUGAUCCCUCAGCCCCUUCCCGGUGUUUCCCGGCUCCGGAGCCCGAUCCCAGCGGAGGAUGAGGAGGUUCAUUUACUGCAAGGUGGUUGUGGCCACGUCCCUGCUGUGGGUGCUGCUGGACGUGUUCCUGCUGCUCUACUUCAGCGAGUGCAACAAGUGUGAUGACAAGAAGGAGAGGUCUCUGCUGCCCGCCCUCAGGGGUGAGUGCCACCUCCAGCACCUCGGAAAUUAAAUAGAUUUAUUUAUUUUAAAUAUUUGGCUUUGGGGAUGUUUGUCUAAAUGAUUUUUCAAGUCAAAAAAAUCCCAGGAGCUGAAGUACUUUCAGUGCUGCCUCGGUGUUUUCUCAGCAGCUUGGGUUGUCUUCGUGUUUCGUGGGGUGGUUUGGGUUGCAAGGGGCUUAAAUGGCCAGUUAAGUGAUAUAUUGAAAUGUU